GUAUUCUGACCUUUUUCAGUUAAGUGCUAUCAAAACCAAGCAGAGUUGGUAGGACAAACAGGCUAGGAUCCCAGUGAUAUUGUGAUCUUUACAUUUGGAGAAAAAGCCUAUAACUAAGAGAAUGCUUCAUAAAUGUAUCUAUCACUUUUCCUGAACUGGGGAGUUAGAAAAAAUCUGAGUGUCUGCAGUGUAGCAAAAAUAUGCAUUAUAAACAUGUUAAUCAUUUUGUGCUUCUAAACACCUUUAGAACUAGUAACGCUUCUUUGUUUUUAGAAGGCAAGCAAUUGUUAAUCUUGGCCCACUUUCUUGCAGGAAGAUGAUGUUGAUGUUAGGCCUGCAAGAAAAAGCGAGGCUCCAUUUACUCACAAAGUGAAUAUGAAAGCUAGAUUUGAACAAAUGGCUAAGGCAAGAGAAGAAGAAGAACAAAGAAGAAUUGAAGAACAAAAGUUACUACGCAUGCAGUUUGAACAAAGGGAAAUUGAUGCAGCACUACAAAAGAAAAGAGAAGAGGAGGAGGAGGAAGAAGCUAGCAUCAUGAAUGGCUCCACUACUGAAGAUGAAGAGCAAACCAGAUCAGGAGCUCCAUGGUUCAAGAAGCCUCUUAAAAACACAUCAGUUGUAGACAGUGAGCCAGUCAGAUUUACGGUUAAAGUAACAGGAGAACCCAAACCAGAAAUUACAUGGUGGUUUGAAGGAGAAAUACUGCAGGAUGGAGAAGACUAUCAAUAUAUUGAAAGGGGAGAAACUUACUGCCUUUACUUACCAGAAACUUUCCCAGAAGAUGGAGGAGA
This 791-nucleotide small RNA is filed under the name Pan troglodytes (chimpanzee). RNAcentral's name for it is "retained intron". Lineage: Eukaryota; Metazoa; Chordata; Mammalia; Primates; Hominidae. The record is from RNAcentral.